AUAUUGCACAAUGGGGGGAACCCUGAUGCAGCGACGCCGCGUGAGUGAAGAAGUGCUUCGGUAUGUAAAGCUCUGUCAGUAGGGAAGANGAUGACGGUACCUGACCAAGAAGCCCCGGCUAACUACGUGCCAGCAGCCGCGGUAAUACGUAGGGGGCCAGCGUUAUCCGGAUUUACUGGGUGUAAAGGGAGCGCAGACGGCGCGGCAAGUCCGGAGUGAAAGCCCGGGGCCCAACCCCGGGACUGCUCUGGAAACUGCGGCGCUCGAGUGCCGGAGGGGCAGGCGGAAUUCCUAGUGUAGCGGUGAAAUGCGUAGAUAUUAGGAGGGACACCAGUGGCGAAGGCGGCCUGCUGGACGGCAACUGACGUUGAGGCUCGAAAGCGUGGGGAGCAAACAGG
This 398-nucleotide ribosomal RNA is filed under the name uncultured bacterium. Its description in RNAcentral is "bacterial SSU rRNA". It matches the Rfam family "Bacterial small subunit ribosomal RNA", at positions 361 to 776 of the family's 1533-position model. The record is from RNAcentral.